UACGUAGGGGGCGAGCGUUGUCCGGAAUUAUUGGGCGUAAAGGGUACGUAGGCGGUUUGUUAAGUCAAAUGUGAAAUCGGCAGGCUCAACCUGUUCAAGCAUAUGAAACUGGCAAACUUGAGUGAAGGAGAGGAAAGUGGAAUUCCUGGUGUAGCGGUGAAAUGCGUAGAUAUCAGGAGGAAUACCGGUGGCGAAGGCGACUUUCUGGACUUUUACUGACGCUGAGGUACGAAAGCGUGGGGAGCAAACAGGAUUAGAUACCCUGGUAGUCCACGCCGUAAACGAUGAGUGCUAGGUGUCGGGUGUCAAAGCUCGGUGCCGAAGUUAACACAUUAAGCACUCCGCCUGGGGAGUACGUGCGCAAGCAUGAA
RNAcentral lists this ribosomal RNA (371 nucleotides) under uncultured bacterium. RNAcentral describes it as "bacterial SSU rRNA". It matches the Rfam family "Bacterial small subunit ribosomal RNA", at positions 524 to 898 of the family's 1533-position model. The record is from RNAcentral.